UAUGUGUACCAAAUAUGUAAUUACGGGGACCGAAACGACGAAUUUGGACAAAGGGCUUUGAGCUAAAACCCUAAACCCAAUCAACACUGUAUCCACCAUAGCUCCGAGAUCUUCACCCAAAACUCUCCCUACAAUGGCUUCAAGGUGUAGCAGAAUUAUCAAUAAGGGUUCCAUUUCGUCUAUCAGAUCCGCUAUUAAGCUCAAUUCCCAAUCAGCUUCUUCUACAACGUCGUUUUCCAGUUUCUCUGCUUCAACCAGAUCUGCUUCGUCUCCUCUCCGCCGGUUAUCCUUUUCAAGAAUUCCGUCGGAGCUGGGAGGAGUGCAGUCAAUGUUGCCACUACACAAUGCAGUUGCUACGGCGAGGAUGACGUCAUGCCUGAGCUCAACAUCGAGGAGUUGCAGAGCUCUUUCACAGGGUACACUCUGCUGCACCUCUCCAGACCUCUAGCAUGUUCAUUUAUUACUACCACAAAAUAAAAAAGAAGCACAUGAGUUUCCAAAAGCAUGAAAGAAAUAUACUGGGAUUUGACAGGCCUUCGUAUUUUGCUUAAAUGAUACUGAAGGAACGUGAAAUUUUUUGCUCAUCAAGAGGAGGUUGUAUCUGCUUGAAUUUAGCUACAAGAUAUUUUGCCUUGGCUUUAAACCAUGUUUUCAGACAUAUCAUCUGCUUAUUGUAGAGAAACAGAUGCAUCAGAGAUGAACCUACCCUUUUCUUUUUCAAAUACUUGAAUGCAAAAUUGUCUUGUAUGUAACACUUAGUUUUUUUCCCCCCUUUUAGUGGCAAUUGUAUCUACAACAAAAUGUAUUUGAUUGAUUUAAGGAAUCUAAUCUAACCUAGUUUUGAUCUUUGAA
RNA transcript from Solanum tuberosum (potato), 852 nucleotides. RefSeq lists it as uncharacterized. The record is from RefSeq and is a predicted model, not a curated record. Lineage: Eukaryota; Viridiplantae; Streptophyta; Magnoliopsida; Solanales; Solanaceae. The transcript has 4 exons.